UUGCCUUAAACGGGCAGUGCCCUGGGUCCAUCUCCUGCUGCUGGGCUCUGCCAGGUGAGGGCCCCUCAGAGACGGGCGCGGGCUCUCCCCGGCCCGGCCCUGGAGCGGCCCCUCCGACAAGGGCAGCCGUGGCCUGCGCCCGGUGAGGUGCCCCUGCCCUGGCUCCUUGCAGCCCCGGGACGCCGCCCCUUCCUCUAACCCGCACUCUCCUCCAUGUGGAGCCCUGGGGCCGCUGAGAGCCUGCUGCCUGCCUUUCACACCAGCUCACCGAGUCUCCCCACCUUCAGAGAUCGCUGCAGAUCAGGCAGCCGCGGUUACGUCCCGAGAGCGCAAAGAUCUCCCGAGACCCCCUCAUCACGCGCAGCUCCGCCGGGACGGCGGCUUCUCCGUGGCGGGGGAUCUCCGCAAGAGAGUGAAGACAGGCUGCAAACCUCCCCCUGGCCACAGUGACCCGACGGAUGGGAGACUCAGGAGCUGUAGGGCUGGCGCAGUCUGACGUGACGGCUGCCCAGCUCCUCUGUGACACUUGGGACCCCCCGGCCUGCUCUGCAUAACAGUGUCCCAGCUGGGAGCUGCUCCUCCAGAUCUGCAGGGAACAUAUACAUGGCAGCAGUUCAAGCUGAAUCUAAUGCUUGUUGACUCUGGAAAUGUGAAGGAUAUAUCUGUUCUCAGAUGUGAAGAUGAGAAAUGAACAGAAGAACAUGAAGGAGAAAAUUAGUUCAUCUGACACUUCUAGCAAGUCUGCACCUCGAGUAACAGAACCAGUUAUAAGUAGAUUUUCCAGCUUCUAAUCACAAAAGAAAAAGAAAAGGAAAAGAGACUGGUCUUUAUAGUUUUUGUGUUCAAAAUAUGUAUAAAACGCUUGUAAUGCUUACUUCAGAUUGUUAAUUUGCCAAGUAUAAGAGAUUUGCAAGUCUGGUAACGGUUUUCAUUUAUUUUACAAUGAGACAGAUAAUUAUUCA
Manis pentadactyla (Chinese pangolin) is the source of this 962-nucleotide long non-coding RNA. RefSeq lists it as uncharacterized. The transcript is spliced from 2 exons. Lineage: Eukaryota; Metazoa; Chordata; Mammalia; Pholidota; Manidae. The record is from RefSeq and is a predicted model, not a curated record.